GAUGAACGCUGGCGGCGUGCCUAAUACAUGCAAGUCGAGCGGAUGGAUUAGGAGCUUGCUCUUAUGAAGUUAGCGGCGGACGGGUGAGUAACACGUGGGUAACCUGCCCAUAAGACUGGGAUAACUCCGGGAAACCGGGGCUAAUACCGGAUAACAUUUUGAACCGCAUGGUUCGAAAUUGAGAGGCGGCUUCGGCUGUCACUUAUGGAUGGACCCGCGUCGCAUUAGCUAGUUGGUGAGGUAACGGCUCACCAAGGCAACGAUGCGUAGCCGACCUGAGAGGGUGAUCGGCCACACUGGGACUGAGACACGGCCCAGACUCCUCCGGGAGGCAGCAGUAGGGAAUCUUCCGCAAUGGACGAAAGUCUGACGGAGCAACGCCGCGUGAGUGAUGAAGGCUUUCGGGUCGUAAAACUCUGUUGUUAGGGAAGAACAAGUGCUAGUUGAAUAAGCUGGCACCUUGACGGUACCUAACCAGAAAGCCACGGCUAACUACGUGCCAGCCGCCGCGGUAA
Molecule: ribosomal RNA, 515 nt
Filed under: uncultured bacterium
Lineage: Bacteria
Description: partial 16S ribosomal RNA
Rfam family: Bacterial small subunit ribosomal RNA
Source: RNAcentral